RNAcentral lists this unclassified non-coding RNA (164 nucleotides) under uncultured Fusicolla. Its description in RNAcentral is "sequence contains ITS2". The record is from RNAcentral. Lineage: Eukaryota; Fungi; Ascomycota; Sordariomycetes; Hypocreales; Nectriaceae.
CAACCCUCAGGCCCCCGGGCCCGGUGUUGGGGCUCGGCCCGUCCCUAGCGGCGCGCCGUCCCCGAAAUCUAGUGGCGGUCUCGCUGCAGCCUCCCCUGCGUAGUAGCAAACACCUCGCAGCGGGAACUCAGCGCGGCCACGCCGUUAAACCCCAACUUCUGAAA